Long non-coding RNA from Diprion similis, 212 nucleotides. RefSeq lists it as uncharacterized. The transcript has 3 exons. NCBI's taxonomy places the organism in Eukaryota, Metazoa, Arthropoda, Insecta, Hymenoptera, Diprionidae. The record is from RefSeq and is a predicted model, not a curated record.
GAUAAUACGCGUGCCGCGAAAUGUCCGUAUUAAGUACACAGGGUCGAUUACGCAAUAGCUUUGGUUUCUAACGUAACGCGAUCGAGGCGCGACGGCCGGUGUUAUAGGUGUACACGGUUCGGUGUGGUAGGUGCGGUCACUGCGACUGCGUGAAACGGUGUGCCUGCGAGGCAGAUGGAAUCCCGACUCCUGCACCGACACCCGGUUUGCCC